GCCAGGCACAGUGGUGCAUGCCUGUAAUUCCAGUGACUCGGGAGGCUGAGGCAGGAAGAUUGCAAAACUCAAGGCCAGCCUGGGAAAUUUAGCAAGACCCUGUCUCAA
Molecule: small RNA, 108 nt
Filed under: Marmota monax (woodchuck)
Lineage: Eukaryota; Metazoa; Chordata; Mammalia; Rodentia; Sciuridae
Source: RNAcentral